GCCUCCCUCCCUCCCUCCGUUUCCUCACCUUUCCAUUCAGGCUGAAUAGUACCCUGAAAAUAGCACAAGGGAAGGACAGCAUGCUAGAUGCACAUGUGGAAAACUGCAUGUCGUGCUUUAGCUCACACAAGUGUUGGUUGGAUAUAGGUCACGUAGCGGCACAAGUUACUCUGCAUGAUGAUUUCGCCAUGGAUCCUCUUCAUCAAAUUGUUUAUAAGAACGAAUCUUCGGAGGUGCACUUCAGGAUCGUUCCUCAAAAAUCGAGAUGGUUUUAGGGCUACAGCUGCUGAGUGGUGGGUGAAAAUCCUCUUCUUCCACAUACUUCCUCUUAAAGUAUGUGAUCUUGGGUGUUACAGCAUUUGAAAUCCUCCUGUAAUGGGACCCUGCCAGGGGUGCCCGGCUCCCGGGUCUCCCUGCAGGGGACCCUUUCCGGCCCCGGGGCCUCGGACCUCUCUAGCUGUCAGCCUCCCAUGGUGCUUGGUACCCAGCAAGUUCAGCAGCUCCUUCCGAGACAAUGGGCUGGCAGAACCUAUUCAGGGUCAAAACCAGAGGCAUCUCUGACAGCCUCAGAUCCGGUCAGCUGGCGGCGGCCGCCACAGCUGGGCUCUGGGCUCCCGGCUCCGCUCUGGGCGCGCUGUCCCGCGGGGCCGAGGUCCGGUCCCCCGCGCGGCAGACGGCGCGCGAGGAGCCCGCCAGUCGCGUUUGCCAUCUCCCCGUGGGCUUUGAGGGGCGGCUCCAUGGGACGCCCUGGGCCCAGGAACCUGACGCGCCGUGCCUCUGGCGCCCCAGCCCGCCCGCCGCUCCGUGGGGCGCCCUCAGUUCCAUCUUCUUACUACCUCACAGGAUGAAAUUUCAACACAUGAACUUUGGGUGCCACCCACUGAAGUCAUACCCAAGCUGUGGCAAAUGGUUUUUCUCUUUGUUAUGUCAAACAUCAAUGAAUUUAUAGAUCAAGUUAGGCAGAUUGAGACUUUUUUUCUGUCCUCAUAUUAAUCUGCUUAGGCUUUUAUAACAAAAUGUCACAGAAACAAUAAAAAGACAUUUCUCACAGUUUUGCAUGUUAUAAGUCCAGGAUCUGUGUGCUUGCAUGGUAGAUCUCAUCUAGGGCUGCUUCUCUUGGUGGCUGUUGCUCAGUACAUGUUCACGGAGCUUUUUUGUGUGUACUCAGUUUUAAAAAGGGGAGAAGGGACAGCAAGAAAGAGGAGAGAAAGUUCUUAGGUGUCUCUCUACUUAUAUGGACAUUAUUCCUAGCCAGUUUAUCUCAGAAACCGGGAUGCGUGAUUGCAGUGGGUAGACAAAUAAAGUUACCCAUCAUUUUAAAAGCUGUGCUACACUGUCAUGGUGCAAAGUCUUUGGUACACAUCGAUGGAUUCUGCUUGCUAGUAUUUUACUUGCUUCAGUAUUCCUGAGGGAUUUUUUAAAAUUUUUGUCUCCUUUGGUAUGAUUAUAUAACUUUGACAUCAGGGUGUCGUCAGUCUCAUUGAAUGGAACAUGUUCAUUCAUCAGGUUCAGUUACUUAUGGAAGCUGAUAGCACUUCCUUGUGUAUCCAAGAUUCUUCCCAUGAAAAAGUUCACUGGAUGGCUAUUGGGCUUAUAUAAGAGAAACAGAUAUAAAGUGCAGACAGUGAGAAAGAAGAAUGGGCCUUUCUUGGAAAGAGCAAAGUUUUCAUUAUGUAUCGGUCAAUUUCAUAUAGAAGGCUGCGAUUGUGUAAGUGAGAAUGACUAUCAUGAACUAAAUGUUCACACUCACCGAUUUCCUUUUCCACACUCAUCACCCUAUUCUUAUGCACAGCACACAUACACCUAAUAUCCUGUCUGCAGCCAGGCUCAUCCUGUCCCCCGGUAUUCCUGUGGAAAUGAAGCUCACCACAUUGCUGCUGCAGCCACUCCUUGCAGAGAGGCCCUUGCACUUAUCUAUUCAGUGCAGACACAGCCAUAUCUCAGCAGUUUUUCCACGGGGUGCUCAUUUCCCAGGUGGCUGCUUGGAUGGCUUCUGUGUUGUGGCCUGAAAGUUACUGUUAGAAUUAACUCCAACAUGGGUUUGAUUUUGACCAAUAGGAGAGAAGUGCUGGGAGAAACAGUGCAGAUACAUCGCUUGUUCUUCUUGUGUGUCCCCCUUCUUAACACUUCCAAGACAGGUGCUGUGGACUCUGAAGACAUCUCCAGUAGGGAACUGAGCUGCACUGAUGACAGACUUUAGCCAGCUCCCCACCUCACCCUCAUGUAUUUUACUCUUUCUCUCUCUCUCUCUCCCUCUCUCUCUCUCUCUCUCUCUCCCUCACUUUCUUUCUUUGAGAUGAGGUCUUGCAAUGUAGUUCAGACUGGACAUGAACUUACUAUGUACCCCAGGCUGAUUGCCAACUCAUUACAAUCCUCCUGCCUCAGCUUCCUGAAUGCCAAGAUUACAAGCAUGAGCCACCACACGACUUUUUCCUUUGUCUUAUUUUUGCUGUUGUUGUACUCUUCUUUCAUCCUGAUCCUCUCUCAUUGCCCCUCACUGUUGCUUCUCCGGAAUGUAACCCCAAUUGCACAAGAAAGAAUAACGAGGAUUGACCAAAUUAAAAAAAACUUCUGCACAUGAUAGGAAUCAAUUAGUAAACUGAAGAAACAACCUACAGAAUGGGAAAAUACUUUUUCCAACUAUUCAUCAGACAGAGGACUAAUAUCUAGAAUGUAUAAAGAACUCAAAAGAAAAGAAAUUUAAAGACCCAGCCAAGAAAUGGGCAAGUGUAAUUUACAGAUACAUCUCAGAAGAAGCACAAAUGGUCAACAAAUGUAUGAAAAAAUGCUCAACAUCUCUGACCAUUAGAGAAAUACAAAUAAAACAACAGUAAGAUUCCACCUUCCACCAUAAAGAAUGCUAUUGUCAAGAAGUCAGAGAAUAACAAAUGCUGGCUUGGCUGUGGUAAACAAUAAUAAUAAUAAUAAUAAAUAAAAGAAAAAGAAAGGAACCCUCCUACAAUGUUGGUGGAAAUGCAAAUUAGUACUCCAGUAUGGAAAUCAGUAUGGAGAUUUCUCAAAGAACUAAAACUAAAAAUUCUGUAUGACCCAGCUAUUCCCCUUCUAGAUAUCUUCCUCAAAGAGCUAAAGACAUCAUAUUACAAGGAUACAUGCAUCCACACCCAUGUUUAUAGCAGCACAAUCCAUUAUACCUAAAAACUGGACACAGUCUGUGUGCUGAUCAACUGAUGAAUGGAUAAAGCAAACGUGGUAUCUACACAUAGUGGAAUACUACUUCAUUGUAAGGAAGGAUACAUUUAAGACAUUUUUAGAAAAAUGGAUGGACCUGGAUAAUAUAAUGUUUUGUGAAUAAAUCAGACACACAAGCUUCAAUACCAUAUGGUAUCUCUCAUCUGAGUAAAGCAAAGAACAAAUAAAGAGAGUAGAAAAGAACAGGUAGAAGGAAACAAGGGGCAAGACUUCUUGGAAAUAGGAAUGAGUCCAGGAGACCAAGGGCUAGGGGAGAGGAGGAAGAAAAGGGGAAAGUAAGUGGAAUUAAGAUACACCAUGUACAGGAACCUAAUAACCUCCAUGAGUACACGUACCCACUUCCAAGACAAAUGGAAUCAUCAUUCAUUGAAGCAGUACUUCAAACAUGUACUAAUGAAAGUAAAACAAAAACAAAAAAUAUGAAUACAAGUUUUUUCUAAGCUUCCCAUAGAACUGAGGUAGAAAGGCCAUUGACAAAAUGCAACAGUGAUGUCACAAAAUCAAACACCAGUCAGAAUUUAGC
Molecule: long non-coding RNA, 3733 nt
Organism: Heterocephalus glaber (naked mole-rat)
Lineage: Eukaryota; Metazoa; Chordata; Mammalia; Rodentia; Bathyergidae
Source: Ensembl